RNAcentral lists this microRNA precursor (84 nucleotides) under Pongo abelii (Sumatran orangutan). Its description in RNAcentral is "mir-548 microRNA precursor family". It matches the Rfam family "mir-548 microRNA precursor family". Lineage: Eukaryota; Metazoa; Chordata; Mammalia; Primates; Hominidae. The record is from Rfam by way of RNAcentral.
UAUUAGGUUGGUGCAAAGGUAACUGUGGUUUUUGCCACUAAAAGUAAUGGCAAAAACUGCAAUUACUUUUGCACCAAUCUAAUA